This 559-nucleotide ribosomal RNA is filed under the name Paenibacillus barcinonensis. RNAcentral describes it as "bacterial SSU rRNA". It matches the Rfam family "Bacterial small subunit ribosomal RNA", at positions 913 to 1469 of the family's 1533-position model. Lineage: Bacteria; Bacillati; Bacillota; Bacilli; Caryophanales; Paenibacillaceae. The record is from RNAcentral.
AGGUGGACCCUCACAAGCAGUGGAGUAUGUGGUUUAAUUUGAAGCAACGCGAAGAACCUUACCAGGUCUUGACAUCCAACUAACGAGGCAGAGAUGCGUUAGGUGCCCUUCGGGGAAAGUUGAGACAGGUGGUGCAUGGUUGUCGUCAGCUCGUGUCGUGAGAUGUUGGGUUAAGUCCCGCAACGAGCGCAACCCUUAUAUUUAGUUGCCAGCACUUCGGGUGGGCACUCUAAAUAGACUGCCGGUGACAAACCGGAGGAAGGUGGGGAUGACGUCAAAUCAUCAUGCCCCUUAUGACCUGGGCUACACACGUACUACAAUGGCCGGUACAACGGGCAGUGAAGCCGCGAGGUGGAACCAAUCCUAAAAAGCCGGUCUCAGUUCGGAUUGCAGGCUGCAACUCGCCUGCAUGAAGUCGGAAUUGCUAGUAAUCGCGGAUCAGCAUGCCGCGGUGAAUACGUUCCCGGGUCUUGUACACACCGCCCGUCACACCACGAGAGUUUAUAACACCCGAAGUCGGUGGGGUAACCGCAAGGAGCCAGCCGCCGAACGGUGGAUG